RNAcentral lists this long non-coding RNA (726 nucleotides) under Phoenix dactylifera (date palm). RNAcentral describes it as "long non-coding RNA (PDAC_LNC008969)". The record is from RNAcentral. Lineage: Eukaryota; Viridiplantae; Streptophyta; Magnoliopsida; Arecales; Arecaceae.
UUGACUGAUCUGUUUUAAUAAUUUAUCCAUUUUGUGAACAUGCAGGUGAAGAGCUACUGGUUGAACUCUGAUGGUGCAGAUGUGGUCUUCCAUAUGAUUGAUAAUUUUCUUAUCUAGUCUUCUGAUAAAUUUUGCGGUUCUCAAUUGGCAGGCCACAAACUCAUUCUGGUGUGUAGAACACUGAUGCAAGUACAUUUAUUCUAAAAAUCUCGACCUUGUAGAUAAAUAAUUGUCCUGUGUAUUAGUUGCGCAAUUUUGAUUUGGUUAUAAUUCUUCAUUCAUACACCGCCUAGGGAAUCUGGUAACAAGAAACUGUAGAUUUUCUUAGUAGGUGGAAUUAUCUUGUAAUAGAAUUCAUCAUUUUAUAUCUUAGGAAGAAAUUUCCUACAAGUGACUCCAGCUCCCCUGGCAUCAUGAAUGAAAGCCAUUUCAUAUUUUUUUAUUUAAUACCGCCAUUGUCAUGUGGACACUGUAUGAGGCUUUAACCUAAUUAGCAUGGCGCUGGCAACUAAAAUGUGGUAUUGAAGGUGUGUGCUCUGUAUUCAUUUUAUAUCUUAGGAAGAAAUUUCCUACAAGUGCCUCCAGCUCCCCUGGCAUCAUGAAUGAAAGCCAUUUCAUGUUUUUUUAUUUAAUACCGCCAUUGUCAUGUGGACACUGUAUGAGGCUUUAACCUAAUUAGCAUGGGGCUGGCAACUAAAAUGUGGUAUUGAAGGUGUGUGCUCUGUA